RNAcentral lists this ribosomal RNA (577 nucleotides) under uncultured bacterium. RNAcentral describes it as "partial 16S rRNA". It matches the Rfam family "Bacterial small subunit ribosomal RNA", at positions 134 to 686 of the family's 1533-position model. The record is from RNAcentral.
GAAACCGGGAUAACAUGGCGAAAGCGGUGCUAAUACCGGAUGACAUUUCAAUCUCUUAGGAGAUUGAAAUCAAACAAUAGCCUCUCCUUGGAAGCUGUUGAUUGAGGAUGAGCCCGCGUACCAUUAGCUAGUUGGUAGGGUAACGGCCUACCAAGGCGACGAUGGUUAGCUGGUCUGAGAGGAUGAUCAGCCACACUGGAACUGACACACGGUCCAGACUCCUACGGGAGGCAGCAGUGAGGAAUUUUGCGCAAUGGGGGAAACCCUGACGCAGCAACGCCGCGUGAGUGAUGAAGGCUUUCGGGUCGUAAAGCUCUGUCAAGUGGAAAGAAAUUGCGGACAAUUAAUAGUUGUUCGUAUUGACGGUACCACUGAAGGAAGCACCGGCUAACUCCGUGCCAGCAGCCGCGGUAAUACGGGGGGUGCAAGCGUUAUUCGGAAUUAUUGGGCGUAAAGGGCGCGCAGGCGGUCUUGUAAGUCAGAUGUGAAAUCCCGGGGCUCAACCCCGGAACAGCAUUUGAAACUACAAGACUUGAGUAUGGGAGAGGGAAGUGGAAUUCCUGGUGUAGAGGUGAAA